CACGAUGAAUCCAUGUUUGGCAAUUCCCUUCACAGAAAAUGGAGUCCUGACAAUCAUCAUCAAUAUCAUCUUGGCAAAUUGGGCAGCAGUAUUUGUUAGUCUUCUUUCGUGAUUUUGACCCGACAGUGGUCCUCUUGCCAGGAGAAUCAAUAGGAGCUGUCAUAACCUUAGAACGAGUGUUCAGUCUUGGAAGCCAUCGUGACAGCACGUGUCUUCUUUUUAAGUGACGAUCUAGCUACAGGAAGAAACAGAAAACACUACACAGAGACAACACAGCAACAACCUGGAUUUGUGGCCGGUAAAAACAAAUUUAAACCGGCAAAGAAUCAGAUGGGGACACAGGUUGGUCUCAGAGCACAAAACGAGUAGCCAUUAGGUAGGCGUGGUUGAUAUGGCGGUACUGGGUAAGUCUCGGAGUUAGUACUGAAUCUUCCAGGAACUUGUAACUUCAAUAAUGUACAUGUUCUAUACUCCAAAUCCCAUUUCAUAGCCUCGGUGUGCCUGAUGUGGGCAGUUGGGUUUGCCGGUUUAUUUUGUUAUGAAAUGCAUGUAUAAUUAAUGAUUUAUCACAAGAUUUAAUAGUGAACAAUUAAUUAGUAACUAAAGUAAUUGCAUUAGCCUACUAUUGCCAAUUGAAGCAUAUCUAAUUAGUAUGCAUGUCAUGUACAUGUGCAUGUAUACCGUAUACUGGGAAAUUUUUGAGUAGCCAAAUUUUCGCGGAUUUCGCUUUUUUUGCUCCGUCGCGAAAAUAAAAAUUGUGAAAUUAUGAAUUUACAUUGCCACAUGGUGGAGUUUACAAGCUAUUCGUGAAAAUAUUAUUUCGGGAAAUUUUACAAAUGCAAAAUUCGCAAAAAAUUUAGCGAUGUGAAAAUAUCUCAGUAUAUGGUACAUGUAAAGUAGAGAAAAUUUUAAAUUUUGAUGAAAGUUAAUUGUUAACAUUUGUGCCACAAAAUUUUAUAACGUAUACUUGUAGUAGGUGGUACCUACAUGAACAUGUAUUUUAUUAAUAUUUUUAGGAUUAUUAUUGUAAUGCUCCUCUUUUUACAUUUUAUGUACAAGAUCCGCCAGUUCUUAUUACAAUACAAAAGUUAGCGCAUCUAGGCUAUAUUAAAGCUCUAGACCCCAAUGCCUUCAAGAUCUUUCAUACCUUAUGACUGGUUACUCUACCAUUAUAUCAAUGAAACAUUCUAUCAAGGUCUAAAAUUAUUCACUCAAGGGGGUCAGAGUAUAUUCCUAGUCCUUUCAAAGAGGAUCUAAUCUAUGACAAGUUGACGAGGGUGAAGGGUGUCUCUCUACAGACCCUGACCUGACAGAAAUGACAGACUGGAGAAAUACUCACGUUCCUCCAUUAGCAUUGACUAAAGCAUGAGCUGAGAUAUUAAUAGGAGAACCAAAGACAAUUAAAAGAAGAAUUCUGUCAGUUGAAAUCAGGAGGAGGAGGAGGAGUGACUCUAGUAAACAGAAUAUGAAAGGAGAAAUUCACAGACUAACUGGAGCAGCACAAAGCAUUAGGAUACCAUCAGACAGACACAUACAUGUACUAGUACGGUACCUUUAACAGUUGAAGAAUGGAUGGCAUCAGAAAAGAUUUUAAACUUGAGGUUACAUCCUCAGGAAGAGAAAUAUCAUAUCAUCUAUUUAUAGUCCUUACAACCUGUGAACAAGCACAGGAUGAGUCUUAGUUUUUGUGUGACUCAUUAAAUUAAUGUGAGGAUAUUUCUUAUCAUUUUGUA
Long non-coding RNA from Amphimedon queenslandica, 1733 nucleotides. RefSeq lists it as uncharacterized. The transcript is spliced from 7 exons. Lineage: Eukaryota; Metazoa; Porifera; Demospongiae; Haplosclerida; Niphatidae. The record is from RefSeq and is a predicted model, not a curated record.